CGUGAUGUCAAUGACCACACCUUCCACUCCACUUCCAGCAUCUAGCGCCAUAUCUGGCACAAAUAAAUUGAAGCAGCCUUGAGAAGAAGGAAGGUCAAUCAUGGUUGAUCCUGAUUUUACAAAUGAGGAAACAAGAACAGAGAGUAUACAGAUGAUUUACACCUACACCCAGGGUCAACUCAGCUUACGAGUGCAGAAUCCUGACCGAGUCCCCAAGCUUCUGGAACUCAGGCAAAUGUUUUUCCCACUGUACUGCUCUGCACCUUUCACAAAUAGCUACUUGGUCAACUCCAAUUCAGGCUUUCGUCCCUCCCGCUGCUUGCCAAGUGUUCUAGCACUUUCUACGCACCUGUCACCACACAUCCUCCACUCCAGUCCCCAUCAUCAUUAUCCUCACCUGCCACAGG
This 407-nucleotide long non-coding RNA is filed under the name Equus asinus (donkey). RNAcentral describes it as "lncRNA (ENSEASG00005025515.1)". The record is from RNAcentral. Lineage: Eukaryota; Metazoa; Chordata; Mammalia; Perissodactyla; Equidae.